GGUCCUACCGAGAUCAUAUUGAUCAUGCCCGCUGUCGGUUGGGCAUGAGUUUCUUCCUCGAGAUACGGCGGUGGUUGAGGAUUAGCAGACAGCUGCACAUGUCGGUCCCGCAGGUAUUUUUUGAAAUAUCCCCAUCGAAUCAAAGCUUCUAUCUCAUCUUUCAACUGGAUGCACUGCUCGAUAUUGUGAUCGUAGUCACGAUAGAACCGACAAUAGCGCUUCCUAUUGUGAGAUGUCGGCCGCGACUUCAUUGGCUGGGGUUGUCGGAGGUAACUCUAUCCUUCUAUCUCCAUAAGAAUCUGCGCACGAAGAGCAGUAAGAAGGGUGUAAGAAUCUUACUUGCUGUCGAAGUCCUUUGAGGGAGGUGGAGCCUCUCUCUCAGCACAAGUCCGGCUAGGCCCCGUGGAGGUUCCUCCCUUCUUCAUUCUCUUCUGAUCUUUGCCCUCGGACUGGCACCGAUCAGUUGCAUCCUCCUCGAUGCAAAUGUAUUUUUGUGUGCGCCUAGGGAGUUUGGCAUAGGAUCGGAGAAGCGUUUUGUCUAUGGAAUAGAUGAAUUUAGAGCUUCGCAACCCCAUUCAUGGCUGCAAUGGCCGUCGAUUCAUCGAGAUCCUCGACUUCUAAGGUGAC
This 627-nucleotide long non-coding RNA is filed under the name Elaeis guineensis (African oil palm). RNAcentral describes it as "long non-coding RNA (EGUI_LNC078670)". The record is from RNAcentral. Lineage: Eukaryota; Viridiplantae; Streptophyta; Magnoliopsida; Arecales; Arecaceae.